This 845-nucleotide ribosomal RNA is filed under the name uncultured bacterium. Its description in RNAcentral is "bacterial SSU rRNA". It matches the Rfam family "Bacterial small subunit ribosomal RNA", at positions 524 to 1381 of the family's 1533-position model. The record is from RNAcentral.
AACGUAGGAGGCGAGCGUUAUCCGGAUUUACUGGGCGUAAAGCGUGUGUAGGCGGCUGGACAAGUCGGACGUGAAAGCCCCUGGCUCAACUGGGGGAGGCCGUUCGAUACUGUUCGGCUCGAGGGUGAGAGAGGGAAGCGGAAUUCCCGGUGUAGCGGUGGAAUGCGUAGAGAUCGGGAGGAACACCCGUGGCGAAAGCGGCUUCCUGGCUCACCCCUGACGCUGAGUGCACGAAAGCGUGGGGAGCAAACGGGAUUAGAUACCCCGGUAGUCCACGCCCUAAACGAUGAGAGCUAGGUGUUGGUCCCAUUUGGGAUCAGUGCCGAAGCAAACGCGUUAAGCUCUCCGCCUGGGGACUACGAACGCAAGUUUAAAACUCAAAGGAAUAGACGGGGGCCCGCACAAGCAGCGGAGCGUGUGGUUCAAUUCGAUGCGACACGAAGAACCUUACCUGGGUUUGACAUGCAUGUGGUACCGAAGGGAAACCGGAGGGACCCGCAAGGGAGCGUGCACAGGUGCUGCAUGGCUGUCGUCAGCUCGUGCCGUGAGGUGUUGGGUUAAGUCCCGCAACGAGCGCAACCCUCGUCGCUAGUUACAUGUGUCUAGCGAGACCGCCGGCUUAAUGCCGGAGGAAGGUGGGGAUGACGUCAAGUCAGCAUGGCCUUUAUAUCCAGGGCUACACACACGCUACAAUGGAUGUUACAAUGGGUUGCCAACCCGCGAGGGGGAGCUAAUCCCACAAAAGCAUCCUCAGUUCAGAUUGCAGGCUGCAACUCGCCUGCAUGAAGUCGGAGUUGCUAGUAAACGCAGGUCAGCUAUACUGCGUUGAAUACGUUCCCGGGCCU